AUUGAACGCUGGCGGCAUGCUUUACACAUGCAAGUCGAACGGCAGCACGGGCUUCGGCCUGGUGGCGAGUGGCGAACGGGUGAGUAAUAUAUCGGAACGUACCCAGAAGUGGGGGAUAACGUAGCGAAAGUUACGCUAAUACCGCAUACGAUCUAUGGAUGAAAGCAGGGGACCGCAAGGCCUUGUGCUCCUGGAGCGGCCGAUAUCUGAUUAGCUAGUUGGUGAGGUAAAGGCUCACCAAGGCGACGAUCAGUAGCUGGUCUGAGAGGACGACCAGCCACACUGGAACUGAGACACGGUCCAGACUCCUACGGGAGGCAGCAGUGGGGAAUUUUGGACAAUGGGCGCAAGCCUGAUCCAGCAAUGCCGCGUGAGUGAAGAAGGCCUUCGGGUUGUAAAGCUCUGUUGUCAGGGAAGAAACGGUAGAGGCUAAUAUCCUUUGCUAAUGACGGUACCUGAAGAAUAAGCACCGGCUAACUACGUG
Molecule: ribosomal RNA, 484 nt
Filed under: uncultured bacterium
Lineage: Bacteria
Description: partial 16S ribosomal RNA
Rfam family: Bacterial small subunit ribosomal RNA
Source: RNAcentral